This 65-nucleotide transfer RNA is filed under the name Isometopus sp. RNAcentral describes it as "tRNA-Trp". Lineage: Eukaryota; Metazoa; Arthropoda; Insecta; Hemiptera; Miridae. The record is from RNAcentral.
AAAGCCUUAAGUUAAAUUAAACUAUUAACCUUCAAAGUUAAAAAUAUAAAUAUUUAUAAGCUUUA